GGCCCCAUGGCGCAAUGGUAGCGCGUCAGAUUCCAGUUUUGUACCGGAGUAUCCUGAAGGUUUUGCGUUCGAGUCGCAAUGGGGUCA
Pyrenochaeta sp. DS3sAY3a is the source of this 87-nucleotide transfer RNA. It matches the Rfam family "tRNA". Rfam says of the family: Transfer RNA (tRNA) molecules are approximately 80 nucleotides in length. NCBI's taxonomy places the organism in Eukaryota, Fungi, Ascomycota, Dothideomycetes, Pleosporales, Cucurbitariaceae. The record is from Rfam.